RNAcentral lists this ribosomal RNA (492 nucleotides) under uncultured bacterium. RNAcentral describes it as "partial 16S ribosomal RNA". It matches the Rfam family "Bacterial small subunit ribosomal RNA", at positions 28 to 507 of the family's 1533-position model. The record is from RNAcentral.
GAUGAACGCUAGCUGCAGGCUUAACACAUGCAAGUCGAGGGGAAACGCCAUCGAAAGCUUGCUUUUGAUGGGCGUCGACCGGCGCACGGGAGAGGAACGCGUAUCCAACCUGCGCAUCACAUGGGAAUAAGCUUGCGAAAGUAAGACUAAUACACAAUGACAUCCCACGAAGACAUCUGAAUGGGAUUAAAGAUUUAUCGGUGAUGGAUGGGGAUGCGUCUGAUUAGCUAGUUGGCGGGGUAACGGCCUACCAAGGCAACGAUCAGUAGGGGUUCUGAGAGGCAGCUCCCCCGCAUUUGAACCACGGCCCAGACCACAAUCCUACGGGACGCAGGAGUAUGGAAUAUUGGGCAAUGAGCGAGAGCCUGACCCAGCCAAGUAGCGUACAGGAUGACUGCCCUAUUGGUUGUAUACUGCCUGUAUAAGAGAAUAAUGUGGGUAUCGUGAGACUUUUUGCCUGUACCUUAUGAAUAAGCACCGGCUAACUCCGUG